This 37896-nucleotide long non-coding RNA is filed under the name Nicotiana benthamiana. Its description in RNAcentral is "long non-coding RNA (NBEN_LNC010216)". Lineage: Eukaryota; Viridiplantae; Streptophyta; Magnoliopsida; Solanales; Solanaceae. The record is from RNAcentral.
AAAUAACACGGUCAAAAUUAAGUCACAAUAGCAUCAUCUGUAACGAUAUAAGCAAACUCGCCUUAACCUAUACGAUAUUCUAUAUUAAUUGAUGAGCAUUUAGCAAUUUGAAUUGCAGCUUCAACACAUGCUAACAUCAGAAAUUAACAAAGAAGAACUCCAACAACUUUAUAGCCUAAAAGAACAUACCGAAUUUUUGAAUCAAUAAACAAAAUCUGAUGAUUUAUAUUUCAUUAGAAAAAACACAGAGUUACAAUUUUAAUUAGGUACAUAUCUAAAUAGUAGCGCAACAACAGAAUAAAGAGGAAGAAAAUAAGCCUCCGAAUCGAGACUCAGUCAUAGCAUGAUAAUACAGCAGCGAACAACAGAAAUUGAAGUUAAAACUCAAACUUCACAUUCAGAAAACUUGAAAUCCAAGUAUCCAAGAGUGGAACCCAGCUGAUGAAACUCUUUUAAUUCUUUUUUUUUUUUUUGUGUUUUUGAAAAUCGAAGUUGAAUUUCUAGAAAUUCUUCUAUUUUGUUUCCUUCUUUUUAAUUUUUCGUGAAGUUUCCGUUUCCAGAUUUGAGAUGCAAUUUCGGAUCUAGGAAUUUGCUUUGUUUUUUGUAUAAGUGAGGUUAUGAUUUGAGGAGGGAAAAGAUGAGAGUGAAAGAGAAAAAGCUCUCGGUUAAGGAGGAGAUUUUCAUUGUUGAGUGAAAAAUGGAGACGAAUAUCCUCUCAGAUGCACUGCUGCUUUAUUCUUUUCUAAGGGUCUCAAAUCUCUUCUUACUUUUGUUUGUUAGGUCUUUUUUUAUGUGACGGAUUAGGGUAAAGGGUAAUGGGUAUUUGAGUAUAGUAUUGGAUUGGGCAAGAAAGAGGAAAUUUGGGCUUUUUUUUUUCGGAAUUGGCCAAAUCCAAGUAUUUUAAAAGAAACAAAACUUACAUAUAUUCUUCCUAAUUUCCUUUUCACCUUUUUUCCUUUUUUUAAUUAAUUAAGAUCCUAAAUUAAUCUAUUUUAAUAAAAAUAAAAAUUCUUUAUUUAUUUUUAAUAUUAAAAUAACUAAUUAACUUAAAACUAAGAAAAAUAUUAAUCUUAAGACUAACAGAUAAAUAUGUAAAAAUGAUAAUUUUUAGGAUUUUUCUAUGAUUUAGAAAUGUUCGAAAUGCAUGAAAUGCAAAUAAAUAAAGAAAAUUCCUAAAAUUAAUAAAAUUAUUUUUGGUCUAUCUUUUAGGAGUUAUUUUCACGUAGGGCAAAAAUCACGUGCUCACAGCUGCCCCUCUUUGCUCGAAAACACAAAGAGUUUUCGUACAAAGAUAAAGUGAGCGGAUACGAGCGAUUUUUGCCCGUUUGAGUACUCCGUGGGAAGCAUUUUUAAAAGAUUUGACCGCACGGUACUUCCGUGGUUGCUUACAUAUCCUUGGGUAUAAAGGAAUCAGGUCAGUAUAGUUCGGGAAUGCUCGAUAGUUGGGACUACCAUGAAGCUGUGAUUUCACUGUUGCUACUGCUGCUGCUACUGCUUACUGAGCCCCUUAUUACACCACGUCAAAAUAAAAAGAAGCUAGACUAGCCUAUGAUCUAUGAAUUACAAAAGCCCUAUCUAUAUCUUCAAACUUGAUCUUGUGAUUCUUGUUGCCUUGUUGACUUGUAUUCUCCGGGGUGAAGUUCCUUUGUUGUCAACUUGAAUUGUAAUUUGAAAUGCUUUUCCUUUUCUUCGGGUGGAUGGCUGAUUACUAGAAUUAAACUAUAUUCUUUAGAAACUCGGACUGUCUUUCCUUGUUCUACAGGUGCGCGCCUGAUUGCUAAACUUGAAUUGUUGUUCCUUGAACAUUGAACUGCUUUCUCUUGUUCCUUAGGUGGGUGCCUGAUGGCUGAACUUGAACUACUUUUCCUUGAAAUUUAAAUUGUUUUCCCUUGUUCUCCAGGUGGGCGCCUGAUUGCCAAAAACUUGAACUGUGUUCCCUUGUCCUCUAUGUGGACACCUGGUUACCAAAAACUUAAACUAUAUUCCCUCGUUAUCAAGGUGGGCGCCUGAUCACCAAAACUUGAAUUGCAUUCCCUCUUUAUCCAGGUGGGCGCCUGAUUGCCAAAACAUGAAUUGUAUUUCCUUAUUCUUAAAUGCAGAUGCAAUAUUUUUGUAUUUUUUUUAUGAAUCAUCGCAAUUCAAAAAUGCACACAAAAUGCAACAGAACCGCGAGGCUGCCUACGUAUCCCUAAAAAGAAUCAGGUAUAACGUAGUUCAUGCUGAUUUCUUGUUUUUGUUGUUGUUUGUCUGUUUUCCUUGUCAUUUCCUCUUUCUGUUUUUCUUUUAUUUUUUUCUUUCUUUUCUUCGUUUUUUUCUUUUUUUUUUGUUUUGUCUCUUUUUUUUCUUGUUUUUUCUCUCUUUUUUCUUUUCUUUUUUUUUUUCAUUCUUUCCAUCCUUUCCCUUCCUUUUCUGACUUUUGUUACUGAUUCUGAAGAGGGGUAUGAAAAGAAAUAUAACUAAGGCUCAACGGGGUAGCAAAUGAUAAAAUAUUACCAUACAAAUGGAGCAUCCUUCUGAGUCAACUUAGUCAAGGGCGAUGCAAUAGAGGAAAAUCCCUAAACAAACCGGCAAUAAAAACCUACCAAACAAGAAACUACGAAUCUCUGUAGUUGAGGUCGAUCUAGGCCAACUCUGAACUACCUCUAUCUUCCUUGAGUCGACGUGAAUACCUUCACUGGGCACCACGUGCCCCAAGAAAGCCACCGAACUGAGCCAAAACUCACACUUGGAGAACUUUGUAUAAAGCUUCUCCUCUCACAAUCUUUGCAAUACAACUCGCAAAUGCUGCACGUGCUCCUUCUGACUACGCGAAUACACUAGAAUAUCAUCAAUGAAAAUAAUAAUGAACGAAUCCAGAUAAGGUCGAAAUAAACUAUUCAUCAAAUGCAUGAAUGUUGCUGGGGCAUUAGUCAGCCCAAAAGACAUGACAAGAAACUCAUAGUGCCCAUAUCUGGUCCUGAAAGCAGUCUUAAUAAUAUCUGAAUCCCUGAUCUUCAACUGGUGAUAGCCCGAACAGAGAUCANNNNNNNNNNNNNNNNNNNNNNNNNNNNNNNNNNNNNNNNNNNNNNNNNNNNNNNNNNNNNNNNNNNNNNNNNNNNNNNNNNNNNNNNNNNNNNNNNNNNNNNNNNNNNNNAACUGGUGAUAGCCCGAACAGAGAUCAAUCUUGGAGAACACCCUCGCUCCCUGAAGCUGGUCAAAUAAAUCAUCAAUACGAGGCAAGGGAUACUUGUUCUCCACUGUUGCUUUGUUCAAUUGCCUGUAGUCAAUGCAUAUUCUCAUGGUGCCGUCCUUCUUCUUCACAAACAGAAUCGGUCCAUCCCAUGGUGACACACUAGGCCGAAUGAACCCCUUAUCUAGGAGUUCAUGAAGCUGAUCCUUCCAUUCUUUCAACUCCACCGGUGCUAUAUGAUAUGGCAGAAUUGAAAUGGGCUGAGUGCCUGGCACCAGGUCAAUACCAAAAUCAAUAUCCAUGUUCGAUGGCAUGGCUGAUAGGUUUGCAGGAAAUAAAGCUUCCCCGGUCAAGCUCUUACUGAAAUAUGCCAUCAACAAGUCACUUUUCUCUCCAACACUUCUCAUUACAUUAUAAUAAACCCUCAGGUGAGCUACCGGAUCUCCGCACCAAUUAUACAAGUUAAAUUUUGGCAUUUUAAACCCUGGGGGCAAGCGAACAUCAAGGGACACAGACAAUUCUGUCACGACCCGCAUUUCCCACCAUCCUGAGUCGUGAUGGCGCCUACUAAUGAGGUCUAGGAAAGCCAAUCCUUAGCUACUUACGUCAUUAACACAUUUCUUCUCUUUUAACGAAUACAGGUCAAUAACAUGAAAACAACGGAACUUUGAAUAAUUCAGCGAAAGAUAAAUUUUAUUUUAUUUUUUAUAUGUGAACAUUAAUUUCUAAUACAACCAUUUGAAUUUCGACUACCCAGAACUGAUGUCACAGUUUCACAUACGGUCAAAGAAUACUACACAUAAAGGUAUGAAAGAAAUAAACUCUACACUGUCUCCGUAAGUACAUGAGAGAAACAUGAAUGUAGAUGAAGGAGACGCCAGGGCCUGUGAACGCCUGCAGGGCUACCUCGGGUCGCCUGAUGAAUAUGAUCCAGCAAUCUCACUGCGGUCCAAAUUUUCAACACUGGGGUCUGCACAAAAGAGUGCAGAGUGUAGUAUCAGCACAACCGACCCCAUGUGUUGGUAAGUGCCUAGCCUAACCCCGACAAAGUAGUGACGAGGCUAGACCGGAAUACCAUAUAAACUUGUGCAAUAUAUAUAUAUAUAUAUAUAUAUAUAUAUAUAUAUAUAGGAUAACAUAUAUCACAGAAAUUCAAGAAAAUAAUAAGGAACAUCAAUAAAUUAUCCCUAACACGGAUAAGGAAAAUAAAAGCAUACUUCACUAUUUGUAAAAAUGUCCUUGCAGGCGUACAACCCGAUCCCAUUGCUCAAUAUUUCCGUAGUAGGCGUACCACCCGCUCCCAUUUCAUCAAACCUCGUGGUAGGCGUACCACCCGCUCCCAUUACAUUAUAUCAAUAGUUCUUCCAAAUGAAAUUUUCUCUAAUAAUGCAACAAUUAAUACGAAUCCAUAAGACAACAAGUACACAAUAAUUAUGAUUCACUGAGGAAAACAAAUAAUGACAAGUAGUAAUUAAUUGUGGGCUUUAAGGAGCAAUUAGGAAAUUUCGUAUUUAAUGUGUCGAAUGUCAAGUAGCAAUUAAGUCACAUAAUCAUGUAGAAAUUAUGGCAUAAAUUCAAGACAUGACGUUGCACAAGGAUACCUUGAUUCAACAAUAACAAGUAACACAAUAAAGGGAGAUGUCAACACACAGAGUCACAGUCAUAGCGGAAUAAGAAAAUUAAAUGCACUUGAACUGAUAACAAUAAGAAAUCAUAACAAAAGGCAUUAGGUGCACGACAUCGCCCUUCAUUCUUGUACUCUCACCCUUACCAAGUAAUGAUAUCAUAAAAUGUGCACGACAUCACCCUUCGUGCUUUUACUCUCUUUCCUCACAUAUAAUCAAUAGAAUCGGCACAGAAUGGACCAUCGUGCGGCAUGACAUCACCCUUCAUGCUUUUACUAUAUUUCCUCACUAGAAUCGGCACAGAAUGGUACAUCGUGCGGCAUGACAUCACCUUUCGUGCUUUACACUAUUUCCUUACAAUAAACAAACAAUGCACGGCAUCACCCUUCGUGCUUUACACUCUUUCCUCACAAUAAACAAACAAUGCACGAAAUCACCCGUCGUGCUUUAACACUCUUCCUCACCCAAUCAACAAUCACAAACAAGGGAAAGGGAAUAAUAACAAAUAAUUAAAACUCGGCAAGGGUACAACAUCAAUAAUCUCAACGUCCUAGCAAGGGAAAAUAUUCAAUAAUCAACAAUGUGCUAGCAAGGGAAUAGAUCAAUAACUCUUUCUCUUUCUUUCACUUUCAUCUCAUAGUUCACAUUAUCACUCGAGCCAAUGCUUCAAAGAUUUACUUAUCUCAUAUACCUUCACAAUUUGUAUUUCAACUCGAGCCAACGGCCUACGUAGUUUAAAGAUCAGAAAUUCCUUUCACAUACUCUUUACAACAUAUAGAAGUCAUCAAUUAAGCAUGGAAGAUAUAAUAAAAUCCAAACUAUUCGCAAAAUAAGCACAUCACGGUCAUGCUAGACACCAAUGUAUAGAUACUCGUCACCAUGCCUAUACAUCGCACUCGGUUUAGCAAAUAACAUAUAAGACUCACUCCUAUUCCCUUAAGCCAGGGUUUAACCAAACACUUACCUUGAUGCCUUGAAUUCAGCUCAAGCCUCAACUAUGGCUUUACCCCUUGGUUCAACCACAAAAUCACUCAAAUCUAGUCACAAAUUACUUAAAUACAUCAACAAAUGCUAAAUGAAUCAAUUUGAAUGCAUAAAAAUGAAUUUCCCAAAGUUUUACCCUAAAAGUCCAAAAACGCCCCCGGGCCCACGUGGUCAAAACUCGAAGUUUGAAACAAAACGCAGUCAUCCAUUCCCCCAAGAAUCCAUAUCUAUGAUUUGUUUUGAAAUCAGACCUCAAAUUGAGGUCCAAACCCCCAAUUUUGAGAAACCCAGGUUCUACCCAAAACCCCCAAUUUUACCCAUGAAAAUGAUUAAAUUUAAGUGAAAAACAUGUUAAAUGAUUGAAGGAAUUAAGUAAAAAUCGACUUACAAAUAAUUUGGAGGAAGUUUUGUCCUUGAAAAAUCGCCUAUAGGGUUAGGGUCUUGAAAGAAUGGUGAAAUAUGGUGGAAAAACGACUAAGUAUAAAAAUUGUUGGGCUGCGAAUGUAGGAUUUGCGAAGCAGGGUUCACAAUUGCAAACCCUGCAGGCAUGGGAAUUGCGACAUUUUUGUUUGCAUUUGGGAACUCAGGCCUAUCAGAGGAGAUUCGCAUUUGUGACUAAAGUCUCGCAUUUGCGAGCCCUUGAUCUUCGCAGUUGCGAAUGUUGGCUUCGCAGUUGCGAACAUGGACAGGCCUGGGCUGGUUUCGCAAAUUCGAACCAGCCUUCGCAUUUGCUAGAGCUGGACCUUCACAUUUGUGAAUGAUGGCCUCGCAUCAAAGCCUGCAGAUAAGUGAUACCAGAUUUUCCAAAAAUGUAGAAAUGCAAUCCGACACCUAUCUGAAACUCACACGAGCCCUCAUGGCUCUAAACCAAACAUACACACAACCUCAAAAAUAUCAUACGGACUUAUCCGUGCGAUCAAAUCGCCAAAAUAAUAUCAUAUACAUCGAGUUAAGCCUCAAAAUUUAUAAUUCCUUCCAAGUUUUCAUAAAGCAUCAAAUUUUCCAUUUUAAGUCCGAAACACGUUAAACGACGUCCAUUUUUAACCAAACUUUACAGAAAGCACUUAAACCAUAUCUCGAUACCAAUACGUUCUAAUCGAAAUUCAUUUCCAAUUUUCUUAAAUAUUUUCAAAAAAUAAUUUCACACAAAAAUUCGUUUCUUGGGCUUGGGACCUCAGAAUUCAAUUCCUGGCAUGCGCCCAAGUCCCAUAUUUUCCUGGCGGACCCUCCAGGACCAUCAAAUUCAUGGGUCCGGGUUCGUUUACCCAAAAUAUUGACCAAAGUCAAAUUUAUUCAAUUUAAUAUCAAAAUUUUGUGUUUUUCCUCACAAAAAUCGUAUUUGAGCUUUUCGGCUAGUGCCUGGAAUGCGCACGUAAAUCGAGGUAACCCUAAGUGGGGUUUUCAUGGCCUCGUAAGUACAAAAUAGUAAGUAAACAAGUGAUGACCCCUAUGGGUCAUCACAUCCUCCACCUCUAAAACAACCGUUUGUCCUCGAACGGACGAAAGAAAUACCUGAGUCGGGGAAAGAUGAGGAUAACGACUCCGCAUAUCAGACUCGGACUCUCAGGUCGAUGCCUCAGGGGGCUAACCUCUCCAUUGAACACGAACAGAAGGAAAACUCUUGGAUCUCAACUGAUAAACUUGUCAGUCUAGAAUAGCUUCCGGCUCCUCCUCAUAAGAAAAAUCCCUGUCCAAUUAGACAGUGCUGAAAUCUAACACGUGGGCUGGAUCGCCGUGAUACCUCGAAGCAUGGAUACAUGAAAUACCGGAUGCAUAACUGAUAAGCUAGGCAGUAAUGCAAGUUUAUAAGCCACCUCUUCCACCGGAUCAAGAAUCUCAGACGGACCAAUGAACCUAGGGCUAAGCUUGCCCUUCUUCCCUAAUCUCUUCACGCCCUUUUUAGGCAACACUAGGAGCAAAACCCGCUUACCAACCAUGAAAGCUACAUCUCGAACCUUAUGAUCAACAUAGCUCUUUUGCCUAGACUGAGCUGAACGAAGCCUAUCCUGAAUGAUCUUGACCUUGUCCAAGGCCUCUUGAACCAAAUCUGUACCCAACAAUCGAGCCUCUUCCGGCUCAAACCAUCUAAUUGGAGACCGACACCGCCUACCAUAUAAGGCAUCAUAAGGAUCCAUUUGAAUGCUCGACUGGUAACUAAUGUUGUAGGCAAACUCAGCUAAGGGCAAAAACUGAUCCCACGAGCCUCCAAAAUCAAUGAUGCAGGAUCAGAGCAUAUCCUCUAAAUCCUGAAUAGUCCUCUCAGACUGAUUGUCCGUCUGGGGAUAAAAGGCCGUGCUCAACUCCACCUGAGUGUCCAACUCUUGCUGAACUGCCUUCCUGAAAUGCGAGGUAAACUGUGUACCCCUGUCCAAAAUGAUAGAUACUGGCACACCAUGAAGGUAAACAAUCUCCCGGAUAUAGUUCUCAGCUAACCUUUCGGAUGAAGAAGAGACAGCCACAAAAUAAAAUGCGCUGACUUGGUCAGCCUAUCAACAAUGACCCAAACUGCGUCAAACCUCUUCCGGGUCAACGAAAGUCUAGUAACGAAAUCCAUGGUAAUCCUCUCCCAUUUCCACCUGGGAAUCUUAAUCCUCUGGAAUAAUCCUCCAGGUCUUUAAUGCUCAUACUUGACAUGCUGAGAGUUCAAACAUCGAGCCACAUACGCUACAAUAUCUUUCUUCAUUAUAUGCCACCAAUAUUGCUACCGCAAAUCCUGGUACAUCUUCACAACGCUUAGAUGAAUAGAAUAUCGGGAACUAUGGGCCUUCGUUAAGAUCAACUCCUGAAUCCCAUCAACAUUAGGCACGCAAACUUGCCCAUGCAAUCUCAAAAUACCAUCAUCACCUAAGGUCACCUGCUUGGCACCUCCACGCUGCACCGUGUCUCUAAGGACAUAUAAAUGGGGAUUAUCAAACUGUCGAUCACGGAUAAGAUCCAAUUAGAAAUAACGAGUGAGCAUGUAAGUUAACACUCAUCUAGGCUUAGAAAUAUCCAACCUUACAAGUCGAUUGUCCAAGUCCUGAACAUCCAAAGCAAGCGGUCUUUGGCUGACCGGAAUAUAAACAAGAUUCCCCAUACUGGCUGACUUCCUACUCAAUGCAUCAGGCACCAUAUUGGCCUUUUAUGGGUGAUAAAAGAUAUUAACAUCAUAAUCCUUCAACUACUCCAACCACCGCCUCUACCUCAAAUUCAAUUCCUUUUGCUUGAACAAGUACUGUAGGCUCUUGUGAUCAGUGAACACCUCACAUGCCACUCCGUACAGAUAAUGGCUCCAAAUCUUCAGCGCGUGAACAAUAGCUGCCAACUCCAAAUCAUGCACUGGAUAGUUCUUCUCAUGAAUCUUCAACUGCCUUGAAGCAUAGGCAAUAUCCCUUCCGUCCUGCAUCAAUACUGCACCAAGCCCCAUACAGGAAACAUCAUAAUAUACUAUGUAAUGCCCUGAUCCUAUGGGCAAAACCAACACCGGUGCUGUAGUCAGAGCUAUCUUGAGCUUCUAAAAGCUCACCUCACACUCGUCCGACCACCUGAACUGGGCACCACUGUGGGUCAACCUGGUCAUCGGGGAUGCAAUAGAUGAAAACCCCUCCACAAAUCGACGAUAGUAGCCUGCCAAUCCCAAGAAACUCCGAAUCUCUGUAGCUGAUGCUGGUCUAGGCUAGUUCUUAACUGCCUCUAUCUCCUUCGGGUCCACCUGAAAACUCUCUACUGAUACAACAUGAUCAAGAAAUGUAACUGAACCCAACCCGAAUUCACACUUCGAGAGCUUUGCAUAUAACUUACUCUCCUUCAAAGUUUGAAGAACCGCUCUACGUUGUUACAUGUGCUUCUCCCGGCUGCGGGAGUAUAUCCAUACAUCAUCAGUGAACACUAUCACUGAUGAAUCCAAAUAAGGCAUGGAUACCCAGUUCAUGAAGUCUAUGAAAGCUGCUGGGGCAUUUGUUUACCCGAAUGACAUAACUAAGAACUCAUAAUGCCCGUACCGAGUGCGGAAAGCUGUCUUAGGGACAUCGGAUGCCCUAAUCCACAACUGAUGGUAACCAGAUCGCAAGUCAAUCUUGGAAGAUACCCUGGCACCCUAAAGCUGAUCGAACAAAUCACCAAUCCUCGGCAGUGGAUACUUAUUUUUGACCGUUACCUUGUUCAAUUGCUGACAAUCAAUAUCCAUCCUCAUUGACCCAUCCUUAUUCUUGGAAAAUAACACCGGCGCACCCCAAGGUGAGACAUUGGUCAAAUGCCCUUCUCAAGAAAAUCCUGCAACUGUUCUUUUAACUCAUGCAACUCCAGUGGGGCCAUACGAUAUGGCGGAAUAGAAAUAGUUUGAGUACCCAGAACUUGAUUAAUGUAGAAAUCAAUACCCCUGUUAGGUGGCAUACCUGACCGGUCUGAAGGAAAAAUAUCAGGGAACUCAGAACAGGCGCAGAAUAUAGAGGGAACCUCAGUACUGGAAUCCCGAACAUAAGCUAAAUAAGCCUAACACCCCUUCUCGACCAUACGCCGAGCCUUCACAUACGAUAUGACACUGCGGGUAAAAUGGUCUGGAAUCCCUCUCCACUCUAAACAAAGCAUACCCGGUAAAGCUAAGGUCACAGUCUUGGCAUGACAAUCCAAGGCAGCGUGGUAAGGUGAUUGUCACACCUCCUUUUGGAUACUACAACCCGGCGAAGGGCGUAGACAAGGCAGUUUUUCCAAUUAAAGGACAAUUGAAACGGUAUUCCAUUUUGAGAGAAUUUCAGAGUCGCACUUGGGAGAAUUAUGGUGUCCCAAGUCACCGGUUAGAAUCCCGAAUAAGGAAAAGAAUGACUUUGCUUACAGUCCACGAACCAGAAAUCCGGGUAUGAAAUUCUAUCAACCUGGGAGAAGGUGUUAGGCAUUACCGGGUUCCGUGGUUCUAGCACGGUCGCUCAACUAUUAUAUUUGGCUUAAAUUAUCUAAUUUUAGAACAUGUUUUUACUUAUGUGCUUUUUAACCUUAAACUGCUUUUAUUAUUAUUUUUGAAGAAAAUUGCAACGUCAUUAAAACACAUCUCGAACCACGUCACAUAAAUGCACCCGUGGUUUUUGACAUAUUUGAACUUCGUUGAUAUUUAGAUCUGGGUCACAUAAAUGUGCACCCGAAUUUAGGAAAAGUAAAAUUAUUAAAGAACGCGCCUAAAGUGACUAACGUGUUAUUAAUUUUAUGGGAGGCCAUGAAAAUUUACUAGAUGGCACGUCCCGAGUUUCUAAGUAUUUAAAUGUGUAAGUAUUUAAAGAGGGCCACACACUUGGUGAUUCUAUUUGGCGCGGCGCACCUCACGUGUUUUAAAAAAUCAUCUUAAAGAGAAAACUAUCAUUUUUCGACCAGGAUUGUCUCUAAGAACCUCAUUAUUCAAACUGAAAAUCAUCAGAAGCCAGCCCAGGAACAACUUCGGCAAAUUGGGCUUUGAAGCCAACCCUAAAAUCCAGUAAAUUUCGUUUAACAAAUUAUUCAACAUUUGGGCCUUGAGACUGACCGAACAGAUAGAGUUGGGCUCAAAUUUAAUUUCUAAUGGUUCAAUAACGGAUCUGAUAACUUAAUAUCCUCAAACUAGAAAUCCAUAACAAUUUGAUCAUUUUUUGGACACUGAAAAUGAUGGGGUAAACGAUAUAAGUACUGAUAUUAAAUGAUAAACUACCUAUUCUGGAUUUUAGUUUAAAUUCUUAUUGAUGAACACACUUAAAAUAAACAAAGGCGCCGAAUGGCUAUCGACAUUGACUCAAAAGAAUAUACUCAUUUACAGCUUGGUCCACACAAUUCACAAAUAUUCGAUUCAUUCUCGUGACUCGGCUCAUCAUGACCAAAGCAUUUGAAAAGACAAAGAAAAAUUGCAGAAUCUUACUAAGCUAAUCACCACUAUUGAUUAUUUGAAUAAUACUACAUAUUACUUUUAAAGUCCUGGCUAUGAAUUAACACAUGACUAACAUAGCAAUGCAUUCUAGACUAACUCCAAUCCGAUACUAAUGAACACAAUUCAAUGGUUUUAUACAGUCCAAGACAGUCCAGAUUUAUUGACAUUCAGAAAACUUAACUAAAUCAAGGAAUCUACUCGAAAUGUAAGAACAAUAAACAACAGAUUUAUAGCAAAAUUUUGUAGCUGACUUCAUCUCAAUAUUAGCUGGAUUUCUACAUUUGCAUCAGGAUUAGUAAGUGUACCUGGAAAUUGCGAAUAGGAAGGAAAAGUGAGAUCAACAGCAGUAGAUGGCAAAGCAACAGAUCACAGCCACAGUAAAGCCAUCUAAAACCCAGCAGAGCACCAAAAUGGGCAAGAUGAACCCGAUGAACGACAAAAUCAAUGUAACAAACACCUCAAUGGUGCCAACAAAAUCCCAGGACUCAACUUAGUAGCCAUUCUUAAACCUCUAUCUGAAUGGGAAGCAUUUGGAAAUAAACAAGUCCACGAAAUAGUGAAAAUUUGAUUUGGCUGUCUAUAUGUUCAUUUAUGGCGAUUCAGCCUUUUUUCUUUCCUUGAAAGGCAAGAAAAUGUUCCUUUAUAUAGGCAUACCUUAGGGUUUGCCAUUCAGAACUUUCUUUGCAUCUUGAGUCCCUUUUUAACUCUUUUUAGUUUGUUAGUCCUUUUAUUAAUGGCUUGUUUCCCAAGUCAGCUACUUAUAGUCUUUUACACCUAAAGCCCCUACUAGAACUUUCCUAUUUCAGUUAUACUGAGAUUCCCUAAUUUGAAUUUCCUAAACUAACCCUUAUGUGCCUUGUAUUACUAAAAAACUUCCAAAAUUAAAUUGGACCUACAUUGCGCUUGGAUUGAACCCUAACAUCUCGAUUGACCUUAUUCAAACUUCAAAAUUAAGAAUUACCUACAAAAUCAAAUAGUAUUGAUUUUAUUAUCAAACAAACCCAACGAUUAGCACAGAUUCAAUCAUGAGGAGAAGAGAAAAAAAAUCUAAAGCACUAACCAAACAAGAAUCGGAGCACAUGUGAAUAUAUUUAGUCAAGUUAUCAAACUGAGCUAAUUAAGAAACGAUAAUUUGAAGAUUUGAGCUUUGCAUAAUGGAGGAAAAAUAAAGGACUCCUCAGGUACAAAAUCCAAAGAGAACCAGAAAAAAAUAAAAACAAGGCAUACAUUAAUCAAAACCCUAAAUUUUAAAUCAUCUAAUCAUGCAGGCACAUAAUCGAAGAGGAACAGAAAAAUACAACUCAGAGGUGAAAAGCUAAACCAAGUAGUACUCCGAUUCAAGGUCCAGAAUGAUGUGAAUAUUUGUUCUUUGUCAAGAACAAACGAACACAUUGUCUCGUGCCUCGAAUCGAUCUCUGGGCCAAUGAAUUUUGAAAAUUCGAGCCAGUUAGGUUUUAGGGUUCUGCUUAUUUUGAUGAUUUGAAAUUUGAAGAAUUUUGGGGAUGUUUGAAGGAGAUUGAGGAAAGAUUUGGACUGAGGGAGAGACGGGGGUCGCUUGGUAUUGAAUUGGGAUCAAUUGGGCACAAACGCCGCCAUGGACGGCGGAGCAACUGUGAAUUCAAACUAAGAUUUGACAAGUUUGAAGGGGAUUCGAGGGUAGCUGAGGUUAGAUUCGCGAUGAGGAUAGAAAGGGAUUCUAUGGUGUAAUUUUGGAAGGCAUUGGUGCUAUGCCUCCGCCACGGCGAUUUCCGGCCGGCGGCGGACGGUGGUGUUAGGGUGGUUUAGUGGUGGCGUUUCACUACAGGUUGGACUGUACAAGGAUGAAAUGUUUUGGCUCUAAGGCUAUUACACCACCUUUGGACAUUUUUAUGUAAAAUGCCAGGCUCUACGUGAACCGUUAGAUUAAGGCCAUGGACGGCCAAGAUUGAAGGCAACCAAAUGACGUCGUUUGGCUUCCCUGGAGAUGGACCUGGUAGGGGGACCAUUGGGCUAGGCGGGGUUUUAGCUUGUUUGGGCUGGGAUUUUGUUAAAGGGUGGCCCAUAUUUGGCCUUCAAAUUGUCCAGACCUUCUCUUUUCCAAAUUCUUUUCAUUUUUCAAUUUUCUCUCGUUUUUUCAAAAAUCAUUAAAACUCCUAAAUUAAUUACAAAAUCUCAAUUUUACCUAAAAGAUGUAAAACUAAUCCUCUAUAAUUAUUAUCAAAACAAAGUUAAAGGGAGGAAAAAAUAAAAAGCCAAUUGAACCUUUUUUUUUGGAUUUCUCUUUCUUCUUAUAAAAUGAACCAAUUACUUAAUAAUUCUAAAAAAAAUGCAAAGAUAAUUCCUAAAUACACAUGCCACAUAUUUUUUAUUAAUAGAUAUGCACAAACAAAUGUAACCAUUAACAGAAAAUGCCGCAAAAAAUCAGAAUUGCAAAUAAACAAAAGAAAUUAUUUUGUUUUGAAUUUAUGAGAGUAAUUCAUAUAGGGAAAAAAUCACAUGCUCAUAACUGCCCCUCUUUGCGCAAAAACACGAAGAGCUUUCGUGCAGAGAUAAGUGAGCGAACAUGAGCAAUUUUUGCCCUUCUCAAUACUCUGUGAGAAACAUUUUGAAAAGCUUGACCGCACCCUGCUUUAGAGGUUGCCUACAUAUCCUCGGCCGAAGAGGAAUCAAAUUAGUGUAGUUCAUGAGUGUUUGGUAGUUGGGACUACCGAGGCUGUGGUUUUACUGUUGUUGCUGCUGCUAGACCCCCUUAUUAUACCAUUGUGAAAAAUAAAGAAGCUAGACUAAGCCAUUAACUAUGGAUUACUAGAAAACCUAUCUAGAUCUUCCGACUCGCUCUGAAUCCUUGUUGCUUUGUUGUCUUGUAUUUCUUGUUGUGGACUCAUUGUUGCUUUAUUGACUGGUAUUUCUUCUUGUGGAACUUCUUGUUGCCUUGUUGACUGGUAUUUCUUCUUGUAAACUCCCAGUUGCCUUGUUGACUUCUUGUUUUCUCUUCUUCUGUGUUUGAUGCCGAAUCUCUGGACUUGAGAUGUACUCCAUUUGAAAGCAUUCCCUCAUUUUGCAUGUGCGCGCCUGACUACUUGAACUUUGCAAUUUGAAAGAUAUUCCCUUGUUCUACAGGUGGGCGCCUGAUCAUCGAGUCUUGGCUUCUGAAGAAUAUGCCCUUGUUUUCCAGGUGGGUGCCUGACUUUCAAAAACUUCAAAUUUCGAAACAUAUCCCCUUGUUCUACAGGUGGGCGCCUGAUUAACAAAACUUGAAAUUUGAAAAAUAUUCCCUUGUUCUACAGGUGGGCACCUAAUUACCAAGACUUGAAUUUUUGAAAAAUAUUCCCUUGUUUUACAGGUGGACGCCUAAUUACUAAAACUUGAAAUUUUGAAAAUUAUUCCCUUGUUCUACAGGUGGGCGCCUAAUUAAUAAAACUUGAAAUUUUGAAAAAUAUUCCCUUGUUCUCCAGGUGGGUGCCUGAUUACCAAGACUUGAAUUUUGAAAAAUAUUCCUUUGUUCUACAAGUGGGCGCCUGAUUGCCAAAACUUGAAAUUGUGAAAAAUAUUCCCUUGUUCUUCAAGUGGGCGCCUGAUUGUCAAAAACGUGAAAUUUUUAAAAAUAUUCCAUUGUUCUACAGGUGGGCGCCUGAUUACCAAAAAUUGAAAUUCGAAAAAUAUUCCCUUGUUCAAAAGGCAGGCGCCUGGCUACUAAAACUUGAAAUUUUUAAAAAUAUUCCCUUGUUCUCUAGGUGGGCGCCUGAUUACCAAGACUUGAUUUUUGAAAAAUAUUCCCUUGUUCUACAGGUGGUCGCCUGGUUACCAAAACUUGAAUUUUGAAAAAUAUUCCCUUGGUCUACAGGUGGGCGGCUGAUUACCAAAACUUUGAAAUUUUGAAAAAUAUUCCCUUGUUCUAUAGGUGGGCGCCUGGUUAUUAAAACUUGAAAUUUUGAAAAAUAUUCCCUUGUUCUACCGGUGGGCGCCUGAUUGCUAAAACUUGACUUUUGAAAUAUAUUCCCUUGUUCUACAGGUGGGCGCCUGAUUGCUAAAACUUGACUUUUGAAAUAUAUUCCGUGUUCUACAGGUGGGUGGCUGAUUACUAAAACUUGGAAUUUGAAACAUAUUCUACAGGUGGGUGCCUGAUUACUAAAACAUUAAAUUUUGAAAAAUAUUCCCUUGUUCUCCAGGUGGGCGCUUGAUUACCAAAACAAAAUUUUUGAAGAAUAUUCCCUUCCUCUACAGGUUGGUGCCUGAUUAUCAAAACUUGAAUUUUGAAAAGUAUUCCCUUGUUCUACAGGUGGGCGCCUGAUUGCCAAAUCCAAAAAAACAGAACACAAGAAAUUUUUCUUCCCCCAGUUUGGUGCUGGGCGGAUCCGUGAGUGUUAAUCAAAUCUCUCUACCAAAUAUCUCUAAAGUUGAGUCCCAUUAUCGAUGAGGGUCCUGACAAUUUUUAACUGUUGACAACUUCAAGACUAUGUUAUGUUUCUGAAAAGGUAUUAGUUUCCAUCAUGUCUUUCUAUGAGUUAUAUCUGCUGGGGGUCUGCUGGUGACGGGGGAAACUACUUCCUAUUAUCCAGGCGAACCUGACAACUAAUGUUGACUCUUGCUGGGGAAGUAUCUAAUCUAAGUCUCAUUUUUCAGGAGGGUCCUGAUGACUUUGAUUGACUCUGGUUGCGGAAAUGUCUAAGUCCCAUCUUUCAGGGAGGUCCUGAUAACGCUUGUUGACUCAGCUGGGAAAAUUUGAAAUUUUUCCUCUAAAUCCCAUUUUCCAGGAGGGUCCUGAUGACUUUUCUUGACUCUUAGACUCAGCUGGGGAAAUAUUUCCUCUAAGUCCCAUUUUUCAGGAGGGUCCUGAUGACUAUUAUCGACUCUUGUUGAGUCUAGCUGGGGAGAUUCUUGCUUUAAGUCCCAUUUUUCAGGAGGGUCCUGAUGAUUCUUAUCGACUCUUAUUGGGGAAAUAUCUAAUCUAAAUCCCCUUUUUCAGGGGGUUUCUGAUGAUUCUUGUUGACUCUGGUUGGGGAAGUAUUUGGGUUAGACCAUGCCACUCGAUUGUUUAUGUCCUAAGCUAAGUCCCAUUUUCCAUGAGGGUCCUGACAACUCUAACUGAAUCCUACCUUUACACACAAGUCAUUACUGUGCCGUUUGUUAUCCAUGAUUACUCCUAACCUUGAAAUGGUUGGCUCGUGACAUUCUUGUUGAAGACAACCUCUCGUUGUCGUGUUCCAUUGUGUUCAAAUUUCCAUGUUGAUGACGAGUUGCUCAAACUGCUCAGCUGACCCCUCAAGAUCUCUAGGCUUUAUUUUUCCCGCCUAUCAUUGUGUUACAUUACUAACUCCUGGCUGGAGUCGUUUGCAUCCUUCCCCAUGUAUCAUGCUUUAAUUAAACCUCCCAUCCUUGCAGUUUCGCUUUGUUCUUUAUCUUUGUGUCACCUUUCCAUUCCCUUGUCACAAUCCUUGCCCCCUUUCUUGAAAUCAACUAGUCUGUCUAUGGUAUUUGGUUGGCCUGCCUUUUAUGCCUUUACUUCACUCCAUGCUUCAUGUUGCACCGCCGACUCUUCUCUGGAAUUAUUUUAUACCCCUUUCCAGCGAUUGAUGGGUUGAUAUAUAUCGUGUUGGGUCAACUACUCAUGUCCAUUUCCACCAUUGUGUUGUGCUUUUUCCUCUUUUGCUAGAAGACUUAUACCCUUCGCGGACAAUUGCUGAGUUAGGAUGUUAUGCUUGGCUGAUGGCUUCAUUUUAUUUCUCAUCUUGGUGUUACAUUUCUGAGCCUUCCCCAGAAAAUCCUUAUCCCUUUCUUGAGAUUACCUGGUCUCUUUGUGAUGCUUGAUUGACUCUAGAUCUUUACUUCCUCGCCACCUUAUAUAUUUCACUCUCGAUUCUUUACCGGAAUUCGUUUCAUGCCCCUUUCUGUAUGGUACUUCUUCACUUUGCCGAUUCUUGUCUCUUCCAUCGGUUGCAGCUUUAUUAAUCAUCCCCUUUGCUGUUCCACACUUGUUAUCUUUGUUACAUCUUUGGGGCGUCAUGCGCUUUGUUCCUUUGGGAGUUUGAUAAUCGACUUUGACAUUCCUUUUGUUUGCUUAAACAAAAGAUUUUAGACUUGAAAGAAAAAUGAAAUGCAAAGACUCUAAACGGUAUUUAGAGCAAGGAAUUCCAGACUUGCUAACCAUUGAAAAAACAAGAAAGAAGACUUAUCUGAAAGGGAACCACUGGUUCUUGCGAUCAUGACAUGCACUUUGGCCUAUUCGACCCAAUCUGUUUCGAUGACCGACCUUCUGUUACCAUGAUUUUGUCGUUGUGACCUUUCCAAACCAAUCCUUUUAACAAAACCCUAACUCGUCUUGCCCUGCAGUGUUCAUUCAUCAAUAGCCUCUUUCUAAGUUUUGCUUUACCUUACCUUCGCCUCACGGUGCCUGUGAAGGUUUUCACCGAUAAGACUCUCUCAUUUUAUUUUCCCUCAUCCUCUCGUCGCCUUGUGGUGCCCGUGAGGAUUUCACCAAUAAGACUCUCUCAUUUCAUUGUCUCUCGCGUCUGCCUUGGAGUGCUGUCCCUAACAUGAAUACCCUCUACCUACUCAACUCAGCAUCUUUUGAAGACUGAUUAGAAGGUCUUUCUUUGGAUCGUAACGUGGUCUUUUGGAUAGGGUUAGAAAGAAAGGGUAUCAAAGGCUCAAAGUAGUUCGCAUGGGUUCAAAAUUACAUCUUUCAGAAUCGGAUUUCUUACCACAAGCACAGUUUCUGUCCCAGUUACUUGCUUGGGGACUUUUGGAUUUUUAUUUUGAUGAGACCGAACCGUGAGGCUGUCACAACCACAACUUCAGCCCAGGUUUCUUGCUUGGGAACUUUUUGUUUUUUAUUUUGAUGAGACCAAACCGUGAGGCUGCCGACGUAUCCUUUUAAAAGGAAUCAGGUCAAAUGUAGUUCAUGAAGAUUCCUUAUUUUUGUUGUUGUUUUCUUCUCCCUUUUCUAUUUUUCUUCUCUCACUUUCUUUGUUUCGUUUUCUUUUCUUUCUUUCUUUUUCCUUUUUCUCUUUUCUCUUUUGUUUUUCUCUUUUCUUGUUUUUCCUUUUUCUAUUUUUUCUUCUUUUUCUUCUCUUUUUUUGUUUCUUUUUUUUCUUUCCUUUCCUUUUACUACCUUCUCACACCUGCGUUUCUGACUUUUGUUACUGAUUUCGAAAGAGGGGUAUGGAAGAAAGUAAUUAAAUCUCAAAAGGGUUAGCAAAAGAUAAAGUGUUUAGGUAGGAGACUAAGAUCCCUUCGUCAUUUCAAUCUUCAAAAUUUGCCAAGUACAAACAGAUGUCAAGUAUAAACAAUAUUCUAAAGAAAAUCAUACAUAAUAUCUUUAGACAGCAUCCGCGUUGAUUGCCAUUUUCGCACAUUUUCCUUCCACAUCCAUAAGAUACAAUGCCCUAUUGUACAAUACUCAUGAUACGAUGAAUGGCCCCUGCCAUUUUAGAGUGAAUUUGCCUUUCGCCUCGGCCUGGUGAGGGUGGAUGUGCGUUAGUACCAGUUGACCUACUUCAAACUUUCUAGGGUGCGCUUUCUUGUUAUAUGCCCUGGCCAUCCUUUGUUGAUACAACUGGCCGUGACAGACCGGCGCCAAACUUUUCUCAUCAAUCAAACUCAACUGUUCCAACCGAGUUUUGACCCAUUCUUCGUCAUCGAUUCCUGCUUCGGCCACAAUUCUAAGAGAGGGGAUUUCGAUCUCGGCCGGGAUUUUCGCCUCCGUGCCAUAUACCAAUAAGUAAGGAGUGGCCCCCACUAAAGUGCGGACAGUGGUGCGAUAGCCUAAUAAUUCAAAAGGCAACUUCUCAUGCCACUGACUUGACCCUUACACCAUUUUGCAAAGUAUUUUCUUUAUGUUCUUAUUUGCUGCCUCAACCGCUCCAUUCGCCUUGGGGCGGUACGGGGUGGAGUUUCGAUGUGCGAUCUUGAACUGCUGACAUACCUCACUCAUUAGGUGACUGUUGAGGUUUGCCCCAUUAUCAGUGAUGAGUGUUUUGGAGAUACAGAACAAACAAAUAAUGUUUGUGUGCACGAAAUCGACCAUAGCCUUCUUGGUUACUGCCUUAAAGGUUUUGGUCUCAACCCAUUUGGUGAAACAGUCAAUAGCAACCAGGAUAAAUCUGUGUCCGUUGGCGGCUGCUGGCUCAAUGGUCCUAAUAACAUCCAUGCCCCAAGCAACAAAAGGCCAUGGUGCCGACAUCGCAUGCAAUUCAGUUAGAGGAGAGUGAAUUAGGUCUCCGUGUACCUGACAAUGGUGGCAUUUGCGUACAAAGCUGAUACAAUCCCGCUCCAUGGUAAGACAAUAAUACCCUGCCCGGAGAAUUUUCUUUGCCAAAAAAUAUCGGCUCAUAUGUGGCCCGCAGAUGCCAGCAUGCACCUCAUUCAUGAUGGCCGUCACCCUCUUACCAUCCACGCAUCUUAGCAAACAAAUAUAUGGUGUUCUUUUGUAUAAUAUCCCUCCACUGAAGAAGAAUCCACUUGACAAAUGAUAGAUUUUUCUCUUUUGGUCACUCGUGGCUUGCAUCGGGUACACAUCUUUCCUGAUAUAAUCCUCGAUGUCGUGAAACCAAGGCUCGCCAUCAAAAGUCUUCUUCCACCAUAUUGCAAUAAGCAUGAUGAUCGUGGACCCGAAUAUGUAGCGGGUCAACAUAGACCGUAUCCGGGUGGUUUAACAUUGAUGCCAAAGUGGCCAGGGCAUCAGCAACCUCAUUGUGAAUUCUGGGGAAUCGCUGAGAGAUCACGCAAGUAUUGCCGGUAUGGUAUGAGUUUUAAGUCCCUCGUUUCCCAGUCCCCUUGAAUCUGAUGUACCAGAAGGUCUGAGUCUUCCAAGACCAAGACUUCCUGGACACCCAUGUCUGCUGCUAAUCUCAGACCCAAAAUGCACGCCUUGUACUCUGCCAUAUAGUUGGUGCAAUAAAAACGGAGUUGAGCUGUGACUAAGUAAUGAUGCCCUUCUUCAUAAAUGAGUACCGCUCCUAUUCCAACGCCUUUCAUAUUGGCAUCCCCAUCGAAGAACAAUUUCCAUCCCGACUUCUCAUCCCGUUCCAUUUCAUUGAUGUGCAUCACUUCCUCAUCUGGGAAGUAUGUGGUCAAGGGCUCAUAUUCUUUAUCUAUGGGAUUCUCUGCUAAAUGGUCUGCCAAUGCCUAUGCCUUCAUAGCAGUCCUGGUCUUGUAGACAAUGUCGAACUCAAUGAGCAAGCUUUUCCACUUUGCGAGCCUCCCUGUGGGCAUGGGCUUCUGAAAAAUGUAUUUCAAUGGGCCCAAUCAUGAUAUGAGAUAAGUGGUGCAUGACGACAAGUAAUGCUUCAACUUUUGGGAUACCCACGUCAAGGCGCAAUAUGUCCUCUCAAGAUGAGUGUACUUUAACUCAUAGGUCGUAGAUUUCUUGCUGAGGUAGUAUAUGACCUGCUCUUUUCUCCCUGCAACAUCGUGCUGACCCAACACGGACCUAAAUGAGUUGUCUAGGACUGUCAAAUAUAAGAUAAGAGGCCUUCUUGGUCCCGGUGGGACCAAUACUGGUGGGUUUGACAAAUAUUCCUUUAUCUUAUCAAAAGCUUACUGGCACUCUCCCGUCCAUUUUAUUGCAACAUCCUUCUUCAACAACUUAAAGAUGGGUUCGAAGAUGGUUAUGAGCUGCGCAAUGAAUCGACUAAUGUAAUUCAAUCUUCCUAGUAGACUUAUUACUUCUUUUUUGUUUCUGGGAGACGGCAACUCCUGUAUAGCUUUGAUUUUUGAUGGGUCUAGCUCGAUGCCUCGGCAGCUGACUAUGAACCUUAACAACUUACCCGAGGGAACCGCGAAUGCACAUUUUGCCGGGUUAAUUUUGAGGUCAUAUCUACGGAGCCUCUGCAAGAAUUUCCGCAGGUAUUUGACAUGAUCAGACUACUUCCUAGACUUGAUUAUUACAUCAUCCACAUAGACCUCAAUUUCCUUAUGUAUCAUAUCAUGGAAAAUGGUUGUCAUAGCCCUCAUGUAUAUGGCCCCAACGUUUUUCAAACCAAAAGGCAUUACUCUAUUACAGUACGUCCCUCAUGGUGUGAUGAACGCCAUUUUCUCCGCAUCUUCUUUGUCCAUUAAAACCUGGUGGUACCCGGCGUAACAAUCCACGAAUGGCCCGAUCUCAUGCUUUGCGCAAUUGUCAAUCAAUAUGUGAAUUUUCGGCAAGGGAAAGUUGUCCUUUGGACUUGAUUUGUUGAGGCCGCAAUAAUCGACACACUCCCUGGUUUUUUCGUCCUUUUUCGUCACAGGCACAACAUUAGCUAACCAAGUGGGGUAUCGUGUGAUGCGAAUGACUUUUUCCUCGAACUUCUUGGUCACUUCUUCGUUGAUUUUCACACUCACAUCAGUUUUGAAUUCCCUCAACUUCUGUUUAACAGGCGGGCAAGCCGUGUCAGUAGGUAAUUUGUGGACUACCGAAUCAGUGCUCAAUCCGGGCAUGUCGUCGUAAGACCAUGCAAAGACAUCUUUAUACUCAAGUAAUACUUUCGAUUAUUCCUUCCCUAAGUUGUGGCUCUAGAUGGACACUCAUUUUUCUUUCUAUGAUAUUAUCAGAACUUCCUAGAUUGAUUGCCUCUGUAUCGUUCAGGUUUGGUUUGGUUUUCUCUUCGAAUUGGGUCAUCUCUUUACUAAUCUCAUCCCAUGCUCCUUCCUCAUCAUACCCUAGUUCACCCUCAUGUUCUAUUUCCUGAAUUAUUAUUUCUGAACUAGAUCAAUCCUUAAGACUAGGCCGAAGAGUCCUUAUGCACGUCAGAUCAUUGGAACCGGUGUAAAAAUAACUAUAAAAAACAGAGAAGUUAAGAAAAAUGGGCACUAUCAAUUUUGAAGAUUAGGCUGAGGAGUCCUUAUGCAUGUCAGAUCACUGGAACCAACAUAAAAGUAACUGUACAAAAGAGAAAAGAAAGAGAAGUAAAGAGAAAUGGAAACUAUUAGCAUUGCUGAAAGGGAAAUUGCAUUUCAUUAGAAUCAAAGAUAACAGAGUUUGCGAAUCCAAACGGACGGAAAUAAAAGAUGAGUUGACAACUUUGACGCUAAUACAAACUAGACUGAAAGGAAAAUCAAAGACGACUACCACGACUCCCUCCGAGUGGGGAGAGGGGUGGCUUCCCAGUUAUUGAUUUUUGCGCAUGCUCCCACAAACUGCACGUCUUCCCCGCUCGGUCUUUCUCCUUCCUCGACCAUAUUCACCUCAUUGAAUAGCCUUUCUAACCCCUUAUCAAGAUCCCCGUCCGCGUUGAUUAGCGGGCCGGAAAUCGUUGGUCUGGGGCCAUUGCUAACACUAGAUUUGACAAAUGAUUUGGACAACCUUGAGAUAGGUUUCGGGAGAACCCAGGCUUGCUGUCUCGGCUUCCUGGCUCGCCUUAUAUAUGCGGAUGUGGGCUUGAACUCCAGGCCAAAUGUGUCCAGGUUUUUAGGAAGGGACACUGGUUGCACGAUGCCUUGCACAGAAACCCCCAACCCCUUCCCGGGCCUGAAACUAUUUUUUAACAUUUCUGAUACCACCAUGAUGGAUGCAAUUACUAUCUGGGAUUUUCUGUACUGAUACCGUAUCAAACACCUGAUAGACUCAUGGCCAUUUGCUGUAUUCAGAUUCAAUAAAAGGUACUAUUGGGUCACCUGAAGUACACUGAUUAUCUUCACCAUGCACCACAAUUUCUUGCCUGUCCCAUUCGAAUUUGAGUAUAUGAUGCAGUGUAGAUGGAACUUCCUUGGUUGCAUGAAACCAGGGCCUACCCAAUAAUAGAAUAAAAGAGACUGCUACAUCCAGCACCUAGAAUUUCAUAAUGAUCUCGACGGGCCCUAUAGUUACUUCCAGUACUAUAUCCCCUACGGUGUCUUUGCCUCCGCCGUCGAAGCCUCGAAGACAGAUGUUAUUCUUGUGGACUCUUUCACUUUCCACCUUUAGCUUGGUCAACGUAGAUAGUGGGUAAAUAUUUGCACUGGAUCCGUUGUCAACCAAAACUCGGGUGACCACAGCAUCUUCACAUUUCACAGUCAGAUAAAGAGCCUAGUUGUGCUCAGUACCCUCCAUAGGCAAUUCAUUGUCUGAGAAUGUGACUCGCUUUACCUUGAAUAUCUUGUUUGCAACCUUUUCCAAAUGAUUCAUUGUUAUCUUGUCCGGUACAUGGGCUUCAUUUAAAUCUUCAUCAACGCCCGGCGGUGCUUAUCUGAGUGUUUUAGUAAGGACAACAAAGAAAUCUGGGCUGGUGUCUUCCUCAACUGUUCUAUGAUGGAGUAGUCCUGCAUUUUUAUUUUCUUCAAAAAUUCUUCUCCUCUUCUUCUGACACAGCUUUCUUCACUGGUUCAGGGUUAUCUUUAGAGAUUCUACCUUUUCUCAACUCUUCUAGGGCAAAGUACCUUCUUGAUCGAGUUAAACCUCGUGCCUCACACACUUCCUCCCUAGCUUCUUUCCCUUUGUACAUCACUAUUGCUUGUUCAUAUCUCUAUGGAAUGGCUUUGCUGUUGAUGAUUGGGGAUGGAUUACUGGUUUCACAAUAACCAGAUCGAUGCGGACACCUUCCACACCCAUGACAGGUUCUCUAGCUGCCCCAUGUACUGUUACCUAUGCCUAUUCUCACUUUUGUGCAACCGCGCAUAUUGAGCUCCCCUGAACUACGACAACUUUAUUGCCUUCUUUUGCCCCGGUUACCAGCUUCUCACUACUUGCGACCUUGAUUGGCUCACUGGCUUUGAUCAUCAUUACUAUUUGUGAAGGUUUUUUGGACUCUCCCCUUCUCUCCUCAAUUUCAAUCAUGUUGGUUUCCUGGUGGGUCGACAACGUGUUAUGGUUAAUAUUGGGCACCUCCGGAGUCUGCACCUCAAUCCCGUGGGAGUCAAUAAGUUCUUGGAUGGCAUUCUUCAAAUGCCAACAUUUCUCGGUGUCAUGCCCAGGUGCAUCAGAACAGUAUUCACACCUGAGUGAAUAAUCUAAAUUCUUUGGGGGAGGAUUUGGAAGCUUUGCCUCAAUUGGUCUCUACAUAUCCAGUUUCCGCAGCAUGUGGAAUAGGCUAGUGUAUGAUUCUCCCAGCUGAGUGAAAGUCUUUUUUUUCUGUACCCACUCAUUUCUCACGAUCGGUUUGCCUUGGAAGGCGGGCCUCGGGGCUUGUUGGUAAUCUUUUGGAGGUGGGUGUUGGUUUUGUGGGGUUGGUUAAGUGCUUUGAGGGGGUGGCGCACGCCAUUGUGCGUGAGUAAGAGCUUGGGUAUAUGCUUGCACGUGGUGGACUGAGAUGCGAGGUUCUGGUGGUGGAAAGUAAUGCUGUGGUGGGCCAUAUGGAGUGUGUGGGUAUGUAUGGUGGUGAGGACGGGGCUAGCCAUAAUGAUAUGGUGCCUGAGGGCCGAACCAAGUUCCCGACUCCACUGUCGCUACUUCCUCCUUUUUCUUUUUCCCGAAAGCUCCUCCAGCUCCACUCUGGAUGGCUUGAGUAGUUGCCUUAAUUGCAGAGUAGCUCAUGAUUUUAUUGGAUUUGAGGCCUUCCUAAACCAUACUUCCCAUCUUGACCACUUCGUUAAAAGAUUUCCCUACCACUGAUACCAAACGCCCAAAGUAGGUAUGUUCCAGAGCUUGCAGAAAAUAGUCAACCAUCUCACUCUUCUUCAUGGGAGGAUCAACUCUGGCUUCUUGUUCCCUCCACCGAAAACCGUACUCCCUAAAACUCUCGUUGUGUUUCUUUUCCAGCUUUGUGAAAGAUAGACAAUCUGGGACAAUCUCGAGAUUAUAUUGAAAGUGACAUGUAAAUGCUUACGCUAAGUCAUCCCAGGUAUACCACCGAUUGGGAUCCUGACGAGUAUACCACUCCAACGCCGAUCCACUCAAACUAUGGAUAAAGUACUCCAUUAACAAUUCAUCUUUCCCCCCUGCUCCCCUCAUUUUGCUGCAAAGCACUCUCAAAUACGCGACUGGAUCGUCGUGACAAUCAUAUAAGUCAAAUUUAGGCAUUUUGAAACCGGGAGGCAAUUACACGUUAGGGAAUAAGCAAAGAUCCUUGAAUGGCACACUCACCUGGCCACCUAAUCCCCGCAUGUCUCUAAAAGAUUGUUCCAGACUCCGGACCUUUCUAAGCAUCUCUUCAUGUUUGGAAUUUUUAUCGGCUUUUUAGCUCCCAAUGGAAUUUCAGGAUGGGGAUCUUAAUAGUAAGGUUCCUGGGUUUUGUAGGCAGGUUCUGGUGGAUAGUAUUGAGGGUCAUAAGCUUGAAGCAGUGGUUCAAUUGACGACCUAUGCAGUGUAGGAGGUGGAGGUGCCACAUAGAUAUGAGCGAUUGCGGGGGAGGGUGAGGAGUGACUUUGGGUAGUGGGGCUGAUGGAUGAGAGGUAGCACCCUGAUGCUGUGAGUAUAUAGGAAAACUUGGAGGCGGAUCAGUGACGGACUGGUCAGGUGCUUGGGCCAGUGGCGGGAUGAAGGUUGGGUUGGCAGGAUAUGUUGUGGGUAUAUAGGAAAACUUGCGGGCGGAUCAGUGACGGGUUGGUUAGGUGCUUAGGCCAGUGGCGGUAUGAAGGUUGUGUUUGCAGGAUAGGCCAGGGGUGGCUGUCCUCUUUCCCAUGCCUGGUACAUCUCAGCCAUUUGGUGUUUAAUCUUAUACAUUUCCUCCUUCAUAGCAUUAACGUCCAAUUCCUCUGCCUCUUUCGAGGGGUCAAUAAUGCUGACAUCAGCUUCUUGGUUGGCCAUGACUUGUUUGCUUUUCGACCCUGUGUUGUAGGAGUGAAUUGCCAGAAUGACACGAGUACCAAUCACCUGUCUAAUUUGGAACUGGAAUCACAACAUCAAAUACUCGUUAGGGGUUAGGUUCUUGACACAUAAGUGUCCACAUAUUGGGUAUGUACGCACAUAAAUGACAAUUGGUCCCUAUAUGCAUUGGUUGCUUGCGUCAUCCCGGCUUUUAUUUGCGAAACUCUCUAUUGUUUUAGCCUUAUUCUCUCCCUCUUCCAUAUUCCUUCAAUUUCCAACUUUAUUCGAUUAUGGUCGAAUCCUAUGUAGAUUGCCCACGUAUCAUGUCCCCGCAUGAAUCAGACCGAGCGUAGUUCUUGCAAGUAAAAACCGUAGCAUAACAUAUUUGGGAAAAUUUCUAUUCUCAUAACAACAGACUUUAAUUACAAAGACUCGAAAAGUGGCAGAAUAAACAAAUAUUGAUAAAACGAACUACAGACUCGAACAACAACUAACUAUGCCUAAAGAAAAUACAGACUCCUUGUUUAACAAAUAAACUAAUAGUGCAAUCUUUAGGAGUACAUUAAUGCCUCAAGUGCUGCUUGGCCUCGCGGAGCAUCGUUCAGCCGUGCCACUGGCUUGUGUGCUAACCUCCCAACUAAUAAACUAAUAGUGCAAUCUUUAAGAGUACAUUAAUGCCUCAAGUGCUCCUGGGCCUUGCGAGGCAUCGUUCGGCCUUCCCGGUGGCUUGCGUGCUAAACUCCCUUGGAGGUGGUGGAGGUUUUCCAUCACUUGUCGGGCAGAAGUCAUGGUAGUGGAAAAGAACAUGAAUCUUGUCAUAUCCUCGCAAUGGUUGCACCUUGUGGUGAUGUGGUCUGCGAUUGCCCAUACGCUUUCCCUAAUAACAUCCUUUUCUUGUAACAAACACCCAAUUUGUUUAGCCCUCGCCUCUAAAGUUCGCUCGGCUACCUGAUUCAGUUCCUGGAAUUGCCUCAAAUCCAUAUCCAACCUUGCUAUCGCUGUGUAACAAUGUUCUCUUUCAGCCUUGAGGUCCCCGACUUGCUUGGCUACUUUGCUCUCAACCAUGAUGUCCCUCCAUUUUAACCUAGCGAACUCAUCUUCAUGCUUUUCCUUUAAUUUCUCAAUGAUGCGGCCUCGUUCCUCGGCACUUUUAGCUAAUUGUUUCUAAACCCGAGACAGCUCACCUUCGGCCUUAUUCAGGUCAAAUCCAUAUUCUGUUACUGUUCGUCUUAAAUUGUCUAUGAAUUUUUUAUCCUUCGCGCUCCUGGUAGGAUUUUCUUCGCCUGCUUUCAUCUUUUGGAUUUGAGCUCUAAACGCCUCAUUUUCUUUGGUUAAUCUUUUGUUUUCUCCCUCAUCUGCUGCGGCUUGCAAACUAUUUUCAAAUUGCAGUUCUUAGACUUUCUUUUCUAAUCUUCCUAUUGUGGCUCUGUAAUCAUUUUCUUUGGCUAGCCAAUCCCAUUGUUCUUGUGAUGUUUCAAUAAAUUCUUGGAGAUGUGGUCUUUAAGCUGGCCUCUCGGGCUCUGUCUCUUUUCUAUACCAGGUAGUGUAUCUUGGUGCAACCUCGCCAUUAGAUAUGUCACGUACUCGUGCAUCUGCUGUUAAGUAUUGAAUUUCGCUCCAGAUUUGACGCACGAUGGCUUCAGGGAAUUGACCAUUGGGGCUAAUCUCAACCACAUGGCGACUAAUGUCCUCGUCCCGGGGAAUCAUUUUGCAUCUACCUAAUUGCCUUAACACUUUGUAUGUCGCAUAGGGUUGGGUACUUCGGAGACCCAUCAGAAGGAAAUGUGGUCCGGUGGCUGGCAUAUAUACAAUUUCAUCCACAGGGAGCCACCCGAAUGUCCAUUAUAUUUGAUUUGCAGUGACAACCCGGAUAUGCGACACCCAUUCUGUGACACCUUUAGGUAGCAUAAAUCCAUCAACCUUGUGGUAGAAUUAUUCUAUGCAGAUCUUUGAUGGUGACCCAUAAUUCAUGAACCGAGGCCGGUGGAAGAAAUGCUCAAUCAUCCAUAUUUGUGACAAUAGGUUACAUCCCUCAAAGAAGUCUCCUCCCACUUUGCAGGUGGUGAGAGCACGGAAGAUUUCAGGAAAUAUCAUAGGAGCCAGGGUGCUCUUGGCCUGAGUCAUCAAAGUGCUGAUGACCCCUCCUAUCCGUAUGUCAAUAUUUUCGUCCUUCAGCGAAAACACCAGAAGACCAAAGAAAAAUACCAUGAAUGCAAAAAAUCGAUGCUCCUCCCAUUUGAGUUGGUCCCCUUUUCUACAAAUAUAAUUGUCCAGGUUAUUGAAUCUCCCUAUAUGACCGUACCUCUGAUAUAUAAACUGCGGGGCAUAGAAGACGGCUGAUAGGUCCGGAUUGUGAACCUUACUACUGAUUUUCAAGGAGUCUAGGAACUUGUGCACUGAAUGGGAUUUUGUUGCAAUUUAGUAUUGGUGUCUUAAAGGAAUUGUAGGGACCCCAAUAUAUCUAGUUAUUUCUUCCAACGUCGGUGUGAGCUCAAAAUCCGAGAAAUUGAAGACAUUGUGAGCGGAGUCCCAGAAUGUGAUCAAUGCUUUUAUGAUAUCCCCCCUCGGGUUAAUUUUCAACAGCCCGGUAAGUCCUCCCAAAUGCGUGUGGACCCUGUUUUGCCCUGCUUCCCCCAAGUCAUUACACCACAGGUGCAGCUCCAAGGGAAUUUUGUUCAUGAAUGUUAUCGUGAUCAUUCUGCACAUUUAUUAAGGUGAAUUAGUAUAUCAAAAUUUGACUACUGGACUCCACAAAAUAUUAAAACUACCCUCUUCCUUUGAUGAAAUUUAUUUUUUAAAACCAGUGCCUGGCUUUGCAAAUACGGCCUUUCAGCACUUCUGAAGGAAGGUUUUAAGACUGUGCUUGCUCGCCAGCCAAAAUAAGACUCAGAGGUGGACAUUUUUGUGGAAUCAGCCUUCCGGCCUCCCUUGCGGUAACGUUCGGCUAUUUCUGGCAGUAACGGUAUCACUGGAUUUAUUUCAAAAAAAUGAAUAAAAUUGGACAUUUGUUUUCUUGUUUUGGUUAUUUUUUGCAAAAGAGAGGUUGGUAUUGAUGGGGGUUGCCUACAUAUCUCUCUCCCGACGAGAAUCAAACCGGCAUAGUUCCGGAAAUUCAAGUUAUCAAAAUAAAAACUUUAAGAAGCCUCAAUUUCGUUUGUUUUUUUUUGCUUGCUUUUUUUUGUUUUUUGUUUUUGAAAAAAACCGGCAGCAUUUCGACGCUAUUCGAGCAUUGGUUUUACAAGGCAAGUGACUAACCAUAAUGCUACUUAUUUACUCAAUUUUCUUUCCUUAUUCGCAAGCCGGUCAACAUGCAAAUCCCAAGCAGUUUAAAUGCACAAGUAACAUGUAGCAUGCAUCAUGAUGGUCUUUUCAUUUUGGGUUACUUGUCCUAGACGGACCCAACCACUAUGUUGAGUCCCCUAAGUUAAAUGCAUGAUGCAAAUAAGAGUUCCUACAAGGGAUCCGUCAUGAGGUCAAGUUAUUCUAAGUUAAAACCUCUGUAUAGGGUCUAGACUGUGUACUUAAGCAGACGACUCGAGUCGAGGAAGGGCCUACGUACCGGGAACCAAAAGGCCAUUCAGCUUAGUAACUUGUCCGACCUCUUUCUUAUUUCAGGGUAUGCCACUAAUAUAAUAAGGAGUCUCAACCAGUAAGCACAUCACCAGAGGUAAGAAGAUAAGGGUAUAGGGAGUCUCAGUUUAUAUAUACAGUUCAGAUAAUAUCAAAGCGGUAAAAGCAUCAUUUUGCACAUUAAGCCAACAUGUAAAAUUAGAUAAUAAACAAAGCCAAAAAAAACAACUAUUCUAAGCUCGAAUUCUUGAACCUUGAACCAGAGAUUCUGGGUUCGUUCCCCAUCAGAGUCGCCAGAGCUAUCACACCUCCUCUUGGAUAUCACAUCCCGGCGAAGGGCGUAGAUAAGAGAGUUUUUCCAAUUAAAGGACAAUUGAGACGGGAUUAAAUUUUGAGAGAAUUUUAGAGUCGCCACUUGGGAGAUUUAUGGUGUCCCAAGUCACCGGUUAGUAUCCCGAAUUGAAGAAAAGAAUGACUCUGCUUACAGUCCAUGAACCAGAAAUGCAGGUAAGGAAUUCUGUUAAUCUGGGAGAAGAAGUUAGGCAUUCCCGGGUUCCGUGGUUCUAGCACGGUUGCUCAACUAUUAUAUUUGGCUUAAAUUAUCUGAUUUUAGAACAUGUUUUAACUUAUGUGCUUUUUAACCUUACACCGCUUUUAUUAUUAUUUUUGAAGAAAAUUGAAACGUCAUUAAAACACGUCUCGAACCACCUCACAUAAAUGCACCAGUGGUUUUUGACACAUUUGAACUUCGUUGAGAUAGAUCUGGGUCACAUAAAUGUGCACCCGAAUUUAGGAAAAGUGAUAUUAUUAAAGAACACACCUAAAGCGAUUAACGUGUUAUUAAUUUUGUGAGAGGCCAUGAAAAUUUACUAGAUGGCACGUCCCAAGUUUCUAAGUAUUUUAAUGUGUAGUAUUUAAAGAGGGCCUCAAAAUUGGUGAUUCUAUUUGGCGCGGCACACCUCACGUGUUUUAAAAAAUCAUCUUAAAGAGAAAACUAUCAUUUUUUGACUAGGACUGUCUCUAAGAACCUCAUUAAUUGGUGUUGCAAACUGAAAAUAAUCAGAAGCCAACCCAGGAACAACUUUGGAAAAUUGGGCUUUGAAGCCAGCCCAAAAAUCCCGUAAAUUUCGUUUAAUAAAUUAUUCAGCAUUUGAGCCUUGAGACUGACACAACAGGUAGAGCUGAGGCUCAAAUUUAAUUCCUAAAAGUUCAAGAACGGAUCUGAUAACUUAAUAUCCUCAAAAUAGAAAUCCAUAACAAUUUGAUCAAUUUCUGAACACUCAAACUGAUGGGGUGAAUGAUAUAUAUACUGAUAUUAAAUGAUAAACUACCUAUUCUGGAUUUUAGUUCGAAUUCUAAUUGAUGAACACACUUAAAAUAAACAAAGGCACCGAAUGGAUAUCGACAUUGACUCAAAAGAAUAUACUCAUUAACAGCUUGGUCCACACAAUUCACAAAUAUUUGAUUCAUUCACGUGACCCGGCUCAUCAUGACCAAAGCAUUUUGAAAAAAAAACAAAGAAAAAUUGCAGAUCUUACUAAUACUACUAAUUAUUUGAAUAAUACUACAUAUUACUUUUAAAGUCCUGGCUAUGAAAUAAAACAUGAAUAACAUAGCAAUGCAUUCUAGACUAACUCCAAUCUGAUACUAAUGAACACAAUGCAAUGGUUUUAUAUAGUCCAAGACAGUCCAGAUUUAUUCACAUUCAGAAAACUUAUCUAAAUCAAGGAAUCUACUCGAAAUGUAAGAAUAAUAGACAACAUAUUAAUAACAAAAUUUUGUAGCUGAUUUCAUUUCAAAUAUCAACUGGAUUUCUACAUUUGCAUCAGUCUUAGUAAGUGUACUUGGAAAUUGCGAAUAGGAAGGAAAAGUGAGAUCAACAGUAGUAGAUGGCAAAGCAGCAGAUCACAGCCACAGUAAAGCCAUUUAAAACCCAGCAGAGCACCAAAAUGGGCAAAGAUGAACCCAGUAAACGACACAAUAAUUGUAACAAACACCUCAAUGGUGCCAACAAAAUCCCAGGACUCAACUUAGUAGCCAUAACCUCUAUCUGAAUGACAAAAUUUUGGAAAUAAACAAGUCCAUGAAACAGUGAAAAUUUGAUUUGGCUGUCUAUAUGUUCAAUUAUGGCGAUCCUGCCUUUUUUCUUGCCUUGAAAGGCAAGAAAAUGUGCCUUUAUAUAGGCAUAACUUAUGGUUUGCCUUCAGAUCUUACUUUGCAUCUUGAGUCCCUUUUUAACUCUUUUUAGCUAGUUAGUCCUUUUAUUAAUGGCUUGUUUCCCAAGUCAGCUACUUAAAUUCUAAAAUUCACCUAAAGCCCCUACUAGAACUUUCCAAUUUCAGUUACAUAGAGAUUCCCUAAGUUGAAUUUCCUAAACUAACCCUAAGAGCCCUGUAGUACUGAAAACUUCAAAAACUAAUUUGGUCCUAUAUUGCGCUUGGAUUGAAGCCUAACACCUCGAUUAACCUUAUUCAAACUUCAAAAUUAAGAAUUAUCUACGGAAUCAAAUAACGUUGAUUUCAUUAUCAAACAAACCCAACGAUUAGCAUAGGAUCAAUCAUGAGGAGAAGAGAAAAAAAAUCUACAGCACUUACCAAACAAGAAUCGGAGCACAUGUGAAUAUACUUAGUCAAGUUAUCAAACUAAGCUAAAUAACAAACGAGAAUUUGAAGAUUUGAGCUUUGCAUAAUGGAGGAAAAAUAAAGGACUCCUCAAAUACAAAAUCCAAAGAGAACCAGAACAAAAUCAAAACAAGGCAUACAUUAAUCAAAACCCUAAAUUUUAAACCAUCCAAAUCAUGCAGGCACAUAACCGAAGAAGAAAAUAAAAAGACAACUCACCGGUGAAAGGCUGAACCAAGUAGUUCUCCUAUUCAAGUUCCGGAAUGAUGUGAACGUUUUUUCUUUGUCAAGAACAAACAAGCACAUUAUAUCGUGCCUCGAAUCGAUCUCUAGGCCAAAGAAUUUGGAAAAAUCGAGCGAGUUAGGUUUUAGGGUUCUGCUUAUUUCUAUGAUUUGAAAUUAGAAGAAUUCUGGGGAUGUUUGAAGGAGAUUGAGGAAAGAUUUGGACUGAGAGAGAGACGGGGUCGCUUGGUAUUUAUUUGGAAUCAAUUGGGCACAAGCGCCGCUAUGGACGGCGGAGCAACUGUGAAUUCAAACUAAGACUCGACAAGUUUGAAGGGGAUUCGAGGGUAGCUGAGGUUAGAUUCGGGAUGAGGAUGGAAAGGGGGUGCUAUGGUGUUGGGAGGAAUUGGCAUUACGCCGCCGUCGGCGGACGGUGGUGUUAGGGUGGUUCAACGGUGGCAUUACACUAUUGGUUGGACUAUACGAGGAUGAAAUGUUUUAUCUCUAAGGCUAUUACACAUCCUUUUGACAUUUUUAUGUAAAAUGCUAGGCUCCACGUUAGCCGUUAGAUUAAGGCCAUGGACGGCCAAGAUUGAAGGCCUAUCGUUUGGCGUCCCUGGGGCUGGACCUGGUAGGGGGGCCAUUGGGCUAGGCUGGGUUUUAGCUUGUUGGGCUGAGAUUUUUUUAAAGGGUGGCCCAAAUUUGGCCUUCAAAUUGUCCAGACCUUCUCUUUUCCAAAUUCUUUUCAUUUUUCAAUUUUCUAUAUGUUUUUCAAAAAUAUUAAAACUCUUAAAUUAAUUACAAAAUCUCAAUUUUACCUAAAAGAUGUAAAACUAAUCCUAUAUAAUUAUUAUCAAAACAAAGUUAAGGUGAGGAAAAAAUAAAAAGCCAAUUGAACCUUUUUUUUUGGAUUUCUCUUUUUUUUAUUAAAUGAACCAAUUACUUAUAAUUCUAAAAAAUAAAAAAAUGCAAAACUAAUUCCUAAAUGCACAUGCCACAUAUUUUUUGUUAAUAAAUAUGCACAAACAAAUGCAACCAUUAACAGAAAAUGCCGCAAAAAAUUAAAAUUGCAAAUAAACAAACGAAAUUAUUUUGUUUUGAAUUUAUGGGAGUAAUUCAUAUAGGGCAAAAAUCACAUGCUCACAGUGAUAACUAGUCCAUCUCCAAUAUAACAUCAAACCGAUCAUACCGAGAAGAAGCAAAUCUACACGAGUCUCAAAUCCGCUAAUAACCACUAUACAUGAACAAUGGACACAAUCCGCCACAAUAAUAUCAUCAACCGACGCCGACACAUAAACAGGGCACUUAAAGAAUCACUAGGCAUGACCAGAUACGGUGCAGAAUAAAAUCGAAGCUUCUCUACCACAUACUAUAACAAUACCUGCACCUCCACCUCUAAUAUCAUUACCUCCACCUCUAAUCACUUUACCUCCACCUCUAGCAUCUCUACCUCAACCUCUAAUACCUUUACCCCCUCAAAGCCUCUGAAGACGAAAUUGAUCUAUCAAUGUUCUGUGCUGCUGCUCAGCUGAAUAAAUGGUACAUGACCUCGCCAUUAGCAAAAGGACAAGAAUAGAAGUUUUAAUUUAGCAUUGAGAAACCACGGAUGACAAGGAAGAACAAAUGUGAAACUUUUUCUUACUCUAUAGCUUCUGGGGGAUAAAUACAGACGUCUCUACACCGAUCUCUCAGACUCUACUAAGCUUAUAUAUGAACUGUGAGACCCAUGUAACCUAGAGCGCUGAUACCAACUUGUCACGACCCAAAUUUCCCACCAUCGUGAGUUGUGAUGGAGCUGUCACGACCCAAACUGGAGGGCCAUGACUAGCACCCGACCAUACUUGCCGUGCACCAACGUACAUUUUACCUAGCCUUGUUUAUUAUCUUUUAGGGCCAACAAAGAUCAAUAUAAAUGGUAUCCAUGGAUCACGGACAACCAACCAUAAAAAAUGAUGGCAUAAACAUACAUAACAUUGGGAGACCAGACAACAAGAAACUAUAUAUAAGGUACGAGCUACCAGGCUACCACGAAAGAAUAUACAACAAAAACCAGCCGACAAGGCAUACCAAACUAUACAUGAGUUGACACCUGUCUAUGAGCCUCUAAAGGAACAUAAGUGCUGCAACAUAGCCAGAACAGAGCCCCAACAUACCCAUAAUGUCUAUCACUAAAAUGCAUACCAAGACCACGGUAAGUUCGGAGAAGGGAUCUCGCCAAUCACCGCUGAACUGGAUAGCCUACUGUGGUGGGGGAGCUGCAUCUGCCUGUCUAUUAGGACAUGCAACAUGACAUGCAACAUCCACAAACCAAAGGACGCCAGUACGAAUAAAGUACUGAGUAUGUAAGGCAGGAAACCAUAAAUACGAACAGUAAUAUAAGAAGGGAUAGAGAAUAUACAACUUGGAACAUCUGAGUACCUCUGAGGACUACUGACAUGAAAUACAUGAUACACAUGUAUAAAUACAUAAACAUAUUUUAAAACAUACGCCUCUAUGGUCAUCAUCAUCAUCAUAUCAUACCCGACCGUGAUAGGCUUGGUAAAAAAACAUACCCGGCCAUCAUAAGGCUCGGUAGAAUCGUAUCUGGCUACGUGGAGCCGGUAAAACCCAACUGAUCUGUGGUUGCACAAUAGGUGUCGUACCGGCCGACUAUAGCGCGGCUCGGUAGAGUAAAAUAGAUACAUAUAUAUAAUGCAUGUUCGAUUCAUGAAAACACGUUAUAAACCUUUGGUUGUGACAUAAGAUCAAUAUCCUCUAUACAUGUUAUUAGGACUAACUCCUCACUAUGAACCUUAUAAGAAUCAGGAAGUACCAACAACAUUGAUAACAUAAGAAUAAGAAAAGCAACAUCACAUCAAUUGUUCCGUAAGAGGCGAAACAAUAUAAGUACUGCUAGCUUCUAAGAGUAGAGUAUCUUUGGAAGCUCGUUCAUUACAUUCAAUCGUUCCAUAAGAGGGGAAACAAUGUAAGUACUGAUAGCUUCUAAGAGUAGAGUAUCUUUGGAAGCUCGCUCAUUUCGUUAUGUACAAUCGGAGUCGUGCAAAAGAAGGAAAAAGAUAGGCUCACAUACUUUGUAUAUAUGCCACAAUCUCAAGCUAUGCAAUUAGUCUACAAUAAGAUAAACAAUACUAUCGUCAUCGUUAAGCUUCAUAACUAUUAUGUAUCAACAACAACCGAUUUUACAAUGAAACGAACAAAACCUCCCCUAUAUAUAUGACUUCACACAAUUCCAAACAAUCACUAAAUAUCCCAAAAAACAUCAAUAAUAAUCAAAUGAGACUUCUCAAAUAGUCCACACACAACCUAAUCACUUCCUUCAUAUGACGGCCACCGUAGUCGUGUCAAACGACCCAAAAAUGGUACGAAGCACUAUCAGCCCACAACCCUACAUCUAUUUGGUGUUUCUCCACACUAUGCCUCCUCCAAAACUCCACAAAAUAGUAGUAAAACACGCAGCCCAAUAGCAACACAAAACAGUCGACAAAACAAUCUGCUACAAGUGAAUAACUCGAACUCUUGGCUUCCGAUCACCGUCUUGUGAGUUCUUACAUGUAUAGAACUAAUUACCAUGAAAGCACAGCAGAAAAAAUGUAUGAAAUAGUGCAUUAAACUUACCUUACUUGUUGGAUAACUCAGCGCUUCCUUUGGUUCUUCAAACUCCUGAUUUUUCCCUCAAUUAUAACUUGAAAGAGAGGGAAAAUCGAUUAGGAUUUGUGUGGGAUAUUUUUGAGGAGGUUUGCAGGUGAUUAGGUAUGAUUAUUUGUGAAAUAUAUUUAGGGUUAUAUUGCAGGUGAUGAAACUUGAAAGGGCUCAAUAGCCGACCCGAAAUUCCCUUUUUUUGGGCUAUCAUUUAACCAAGUAGGUGACACAUCUAGUUGUCACCUAGCAGCUUGCGCGGUCUCACAAAAAAGCCUACGUCUCUCUACUACGGUAUCGUAUUGAUAAAUGGUUUAAUACAUUGGAAACUAGACUCUUAUAUCUUAAAUUUGGAUGGUAUAUCACCCAGUAAUUACUAGUAGAUUAGGAGAAAAGCUUAAUGACAUUUGACCUAAAGUUUAAGUAAAACCAUGAACCUAAGUUGCGACAUCCAUAGUAUAAGUAAAUAAGUAGAAAAUCUCUGUAACAUUUGACCUAAUGUUUAAGUAAAAUUAUGAACAUAAGUUGCGACAACUUUUGUCGACUUUUGUAUCAUAACUCGUUUGACUUCAAAACUAUGAAAUGGAUAUUAUAUGAUUAAAAUACCUUAAAACAUUACCUCUUGAGUGUAUUAAGCACCUAUAGGUUUACCCGAAAAUACGAGAUACAACAUUCUUGAUUUGUUUAACUUCUAAUACUUGUUAAUCACCCAUAUACACCCUUGUAUCACUUAAGAUCAAUUGGAUUAACUUCUUAUCAUCUAAAGGAUAACCCCUUCUUAGAUUUAUGUUAAAUAACGUAUGGAAUGAAUUAACACGUGUGGAUAUGGGUUGUAACACCCUCCCACCUUAGGAACAUUCGUCCUCGAAUGUGAGGAUUUAUGGGGAGUCCAAAUCAUCGUGGAUUCCAACGGAAAUUUCCGGUCAAUUUCCCCUAACUAAUGGUCACUAGCAAAAUUUGCAAGCAGUUAAGACCCAUGUAUGGCUUCACAAGGCUAAAAAAAGCAGUAUGGACAUGUACAUUAUCUACAUAUCACCAUUUUGUUUUAAGGAAGAGUGUUCUAAAGUUAUUUCUUACCUCAUAAAGUCGCUUCACCUUUCUAAUGUAUCAUGUGUUCCACCAGCAUCCUUGUUAUCAUUAUUCUGGAAUAGGUAAGGGUAUUUAGAUUUCUUUUCUUCUUUCGCUUCCUAUGUCAUUUCUUCCAUAUUCUUGUUCCUCCACUAUACUUUGACGGAAGCCACAUCUUUUAUUCUCAGCUUGCAGACUUGUCGAUAUAAUAUAGCCACUGGCACUUAUUCAUAUGAUAGAUCCUCUAUAACUUGUACAUCUGUGAUAGGGACAACUCGAGAAGGGUCUCCAAUACAUUUUCUCAACACAGAUACAUGGAAUACCGGGUGGACAAUUUCCAAUUAGGAUGGCAAUUCCAACUCAUAAGCAACUUAUCCAAUUUGUUGAAGAAUUUUAAGCGGACCGAUAUACCUUGGAAUCAGCUUACCUUUCUUCCCAAAACGCAUAACACUCGUCAUUGGUGAGAUCCUUAGGAAAACCCAAUCACCAACCUCAAACUCCAAAUCACGACGUCGGAC